This 4550-nucleotide long non-coding RNA is filed under the name Linum usitatissimum (flax). Its description in RNAcentral is "long non-coding RNA (LUSI_LNC003024)". Lineage: Eukaryota; Viridiplantae; Streptophyta; Magnoliopsida; Malpighiales; Linaceae. The record is from RNAcentral.
UAAACUCAACUAUUAAAUGCGCCGAGUGUGCAUCAUUAGGUUCUAUAACAUAGUACCUAUAUACCUUUGAAUUCUUAGCAUAUCAAACAAAGAUGCAAUCAAUGCCCCUUUCUCUUUGAAUUCUAGCAUAUCCAAUAAAGAUGCAAUCAAUACCUUUUCUCAUAAUGUCUUUCGUUUAGGAUUUUGGAGGCGACAAUGAUAGCUCGGGGUUUCUUUGAUUAAGGUAAACCCACUCUUAACCUUCAGUUCAUCUCGUCUUCCUCCCUUUAUCCUAGAUUCGGUUGGAUUUGAUUUUGUAACAAGAGCGAUGAUUCUCUCUUAGCAGUCGAAAAUCCGAGGGCGAUGAAGGCCAGAAUCCGUCGCUGGCCAUGGAUUUUCCUCCGAUCUACUCUCUCAGCAUUUGACUGAAGAAUACGGAUGGUGAGUCGCUCAACUCUCCCUAAUCUUAAUCAUCUCUCGCUCGAAUGCUUAGAGGUUGGAUGAUGAUAUUAGUAAUGAUGCUUACUAGCCUCUGUACAGCAGCCUCCACUGCCCUUAUGUGGGUCUCCCGAUUCACAGUCGUCACCCUCUUUCUCCUGGAACCCUCAUCUGCGAAUUUCAUAGUCGCCGUUCCAUCCCAAAUUCAAUACUAAAUCGAAGAUCCCAGCUCUUGAUUGCCUUCGCCUCUCGACUCCAUCACAGUUGCAUCGGGACGCGAUCAUGCAUAGAUCGAUUCCCUCAUUUUAAGGUAAGCUCGGUUUCCCCCUCUGCUUGCAAUGAUUCUAAUUUGAACUAUGAUCUUUCUAACGAUCCUCGCCUCUUCUUUCCCAGUUCAGUUCGAUGUGGAAAUUCCGCCGGUAUCUUGGAGGGUCAAAGGCUUUACCAGCGACGCCAUGUCAGGUCUGAACUUGUACUCUCGUCAGUUUUUUUUAUUUAGAUUAAUCUUCUCUUUGAAGGAUUUUACGGUUAUUUCCCCAGGUGUGUAAAGAACACAGCGGGUUUGCUGUUCUAGUUGAUCAAGCGAUGUGUGCGGUUCUCAGUGAUCCUGAAAAAGAACAAGGUAAUGUAUUCUACGCUCUUCCUCUCCUCUCGAUUCCUAUCCCGAUGUAUCUAUGUAUCUCUGUUAUGAAUCCCUUCCUACCUUCUAAUUUUUCAAUAGGCUAUUCGAAGUGAAGAAGGCUGGUUAUGGACCAGAGGGAGCACGAGGAAUGGAGGACAACAAAACUUGAUGUCUGAGGGCUCCAUGAAAGUGAGGAAGGGGGGUCGAGAUUUAACUAGGGGGCGAAACUAGAAGGGCGGCCAGACAAGGUCAACAACACAGAGGUAAUACUCAAAAUUAUAAGCUCGGAUAGACAUGUGAUCGAGUAUUGCUUGUCCUUCUCAGCAACAAAGACUCGUGUGUAUUUUAUCGAGAUAAAAUUGGUCUACUUAGUCUUGAUUGGAAUGUCGAUUUGGCUGUUCAGGACAGGAGCAACUAAAGUGUGUUUGCAUCCAUGUUUUUUUCAUGGAAUAAAUAUACUAUCCUAUCUCAUUAAAGAAUCUAUGAUUACCAUGAUUCAUGUAUGCAGGCUAGGACUCGUAAAACCAAUGUUAUUCAAUUGGGCAUUCAUGAGUUGGCAUUAACCCAUCAUAUGUAUUUGCCAAACAAUCUGAAUUGCAUGUUUUGAUAUGACCAUCGUGGUGAAGAGCGAAGCUGGACCAAGAGAAGAUGAAGGACCAGGAUCGAGAACCUAGAAUCAUCAUGAAAGACCAACACAAAAAGAAGAAACAUAGAAAAUAGUACACAAUAAUAGUCAAAGGGAGUCCACAAUUUCCAAACAAGCAUCCAAAAUAACAAACAUCCACAAACUGUCAUAAAACACAACACAACACAAGUCUAGUCACACAAAAGAAACACAAACAAACCAUCAAGUCUAAAAAAAAGAGAGAGAGACAAAGGAACAUCACUCGAACAAUGGUGGAGGUGGUGGUGGCUGCUAGGAUGGGAAAUGGGGAUAAUACCCAUAGUAGCUUACCUCCGCGCUCAGAUGGUGGUAAUACCAUUGAUGUCCAUCUCUCGAAUCUUGGAAGUGGUCUUGUGGUGGGGGAGAGUAGUCGGGAUAGUGUUGAGGAAGUAAGAGUACACGUUCUGAUAUUUGGCCAUGUGGCCAGUCUGCCAACCCUACUUCUGUUGGAUCCAGUGCAUCUCCAUCUAUACUAUCUGAAUCUACUCCCCAACCCUCUAGAAAUUGCUACUCGUCUCACCUCUAAAGGCAUCAAAGUCGCUUCAUAACCCACUCAUAUCCUGUCUGAUGUACCCCAACUGCUCAUCAUGUGACUUCCUGAACUACUUAUCUCUCUGUGCCUCAUACUGAGCUCUCUCAUCAGAACACUAUUGAUGGAUAGCAAGAUGCUCCAUGACAGCCUGCAGAUCGGACAAAUACCCGAGCUGAAGUUGCGGUGUCGAUCUCCUUAACAAGCAAGUCCUGAACUCCAUUCCUUAGUAAUUAAUCCGGGUAGAAGUCAUAAGGUGGAGUCUCGAAGAUGCCCAACACUCCAUAAUUACGGACUGACAAGCUAACAUACCCUCCUUUGUAUAGUACGACAUGCAUUGAGUAGCUCUUCAAUUGCUUGAAGAGAGUGAGAACCAAGUCUCCCAAAUGCAUAUCGAUCUUAUCCUAGCAAUAGAAGAUGUACAUGUCUCGGUUAGUGAGCGCACUUGGAGAGCUUGAAGACGAACGGUGCGAGAUACCGUGGCGAGCAAACAGAUGGAUGAGACGAAGCAUUGGCUUGUGGGUUCGCAGCGCCUUAAAGACCCCAACUACAAACUGAGGCGCGUCUUUGAUAAUGCUACACCAAAAACCCUGCACAUCAUAGAGGGGGAGUCCGGAAACCAUGGCAAGACAAGCCAGCUUACCAUUGUUCAGCUCCUCAUUUGAAUGGAACCUGAGCAUUACCCCAAACUCAUGUGGGAACACUGUGUACAGCCUCCCUCCCAAGCGGAAGGAGACCACCCUCUGAGAGGUGGAAGUGUAUCUCCCGAUGUCAAGUGUGUAGAAGAACUCACGAACCGCGCGAGGAUAUGAAUACUCCUUCACCAUCAUCGCCCUCCAAAUAUUCUUGGUCCUCUUGUAAUAGGAAUGAAAGGGGAACAAGCCUGCUAGUUAACUCCUCAAAAACUAAGUGCCCCUGUUUGGAAACAGAAAGGUGUUGGAGAGUCGCAUAGAGCUUCCAAGACAUAAAGCAUCAAUCGCGAGGUUUUACGGAUCGACGGGCUCAGUAGGAGCUUCAAACAUGUGGUACUGCUGAGGUGGAACUGCAGGUGAGGAAGUACCUUGAGUCGUUUGCCCUGAGGAAGAAGAAUUCUCAUUUCCACUAUGCCUCUUGUUACACUUGGUAGACUUACCUUUAGGAGACAUCCUGAAAAAUAGUCAGCAAAUGUAGACUGCAAAUUGGGAAACAGGAUUCGGGAUUUCCCGUUUCCGUUCCCGUAUUAUUGAAAAAAAACUCGGGAAUUCCCAUUCCCAUUACCAAACUCAAAAUUCGGGUUUGGUUGGGGAAUAAAAUUUCAUGUUCGGUUUUUUGGUUCGAUUCUGGGAUUCCCAAAAUCCCAAAGUUUCUUAUUAUUUUCUAUUAUCGACAAAAGAAAAAACAUCGUAUAAGAAAUGAUUGAUUCAUACGUUAGGGCAUAGCUCAUUUUCGCUUCAAGACUGAAAUUACGGUUCGUGAAACCGAGAGGCCGAGAGUCCCCAUGUCCCUCAAUGGUGAUUCCCGAUGAUUCCCUCGACGGUUCAACCCCUCCUCUCUAGGGUGGCGAUUCCCAGUCUAGACGUCGGAUUCUUCUUCUUUUGCUACGAUGAUUCCCAACGAUUCCCUCAUUGUUCUGGAAUCUGAUUUAAGGUGAGAACACAUCUCCAACCCACUAUGGGUUUUAUUGUGAGGUUUUGAUUGUUUCUUAUUUCUUUGCGUAACAGUGGUCAUCGUCGAUUUGUACAGGUGCGGCUGUUGAUUCUGCGAACACACCUCUACUACUUUCGUCGGUGAACAACAUUCAAUUGAGGUGUGAAUAAUGAUUGAUUUAUGCUCCACUUUGGUUUUUGAUUAACUCUACAAUAGCUUUCUAUCUGCUAUCUCAAUUGUAAAAUCCUGCCAAAAGACAUUACAUUACAAGGAUGGCUUGUAAAAUCUAAGAAUAUAUGCUAAUGGCUUCAGUUAAAAUCAGGGUGAGUAUUGAGCUUGCUUCACUACUGUCUAUUGAAUACUCAGAACUGAAUUUUGGUCUUUCUUCAUCCCACUUAACUAUCUCCCUCGCAUAUUUAAGAGAUGAGUUGAUAGUGUCAGAUGCUAUAGAUUAUAUUGAUCCUGGGCCUAGUCGAAUAUGAUAAAGAUGAAGAGGGUGAAAAUGAAUAUGUUGAUUCUGUAAGUAUUCUUAAAUUUAUUUAUAGUUAGUAGAAUGGAAUAGUGCUCGAUAUUGUGACUGUGACUGAAUUCUGGCUGUUUGUUUUUCAAUUCUAUUUCUUGGUAUUGCAAUGGUUUUGCAUCACUCAUUUAAGAUAUAUGAGACUGUUGCAGUUUAUAGUUUCAAAACACAU